CUCUUAUGAAGUUAGCGGCGGACGGGUGAGUAACACGUGGGUAACCUGCCCAUAAGACUGGGAUAACUCCGGGAAACCGGGGCUAAUACCGGAUAACAUUUUGAACCGCAUGGUUCGAAAUUGAAAGGCGGCUUCGGCUGUCACUUAUGGAUGGACCCGCGUCGCAUUAGCUAGUUGGUGAGGUAACGGCUCACCAAGGCAACGAUGCGUAGCCGACCUGAGAGGGUGAUCGGCCACACUGGGACUGAGACACGGCCCAGACUCCUACGGGAGGCAGCAGUAGGGAAUCUUCCGCAAUGGACGAAAGUCUGACGGAGCAACGCCGCGUGAGUGAUGAAGGCUUUCGGGUCGUAAAACUCUGUUGUUAGGGAAGAACAAGUGCUAGUUGAAUAAGCUGGCACCUUGACGGUACCUAACCAGAAAGCCACGGCUAACUACGUGCCAGCAGCCGCGGUAAUACGUAGGUGGCAAGCGUUAUCCGGAAUUAUUGGGCGUAAAGCGCGCGCAGGUGGUUUCUUAAGUCUGAUGUGAAAGCCCACGGCUCAACCGUGGAGGGUCAUUGGAAACUGGGAGACUUGAGUGCAGAAGAGGAAAGUGGAAUUCCAUGUGUAGCGGUGAAAUGCGUAGAGAUAUGGAGGAACACCAGUGGCGAAGGCGACUUUCUGGUCUGUAACUGACACUGAGGCGCGAAAGCGUGGGG
RNAcentral lists this ribosomal RNA (700 nucleotides) under Bacillus sp. (in: firmicutes). RNAcentral's name for it is "bacterial SSU rRNA". It matches the Rfam family "Bacterial small subunit ribosomal RNA", at positions 81 to 766 of the family's 1533-position model. The record is from RNAcentral. Lineage: Bacteria; Bacillati; Bacillota; Bacilli; Caryophanales; Bacillaceae.